UUAAGCGACUAAGCGUACACGGUGGAUGCCCUGGCAGUCAGAGGCGAUGAAGGACGUGCUAAUCUGCGAUAAGCGUCGGUAAGGUGAUAUGAACCGUUAUACGACACACUAUCAUUAACUGAAUCCAUAGGUUAAUGAGGCGAACCGGGGGAACUGAAACAUCUAAGUACCCCGAGGAAAAGAAAUCAACCGAGAUUCCCCCAGUAGCGGCGAGCGAACGGGGAGCAGCCCAGAGCCUGAAUCAGUGUGUGUGUUAGUGGAAGCGUCUGGAAAGGCGCGCGAUACAGGGUGACAGCCCCGUACACAAAAAUGCACAUGCUGUGAGCUCGAUGAGUAGGGCGGGACACGUGGUAUCCUGUCUGAAUAUGGGGGGACCAUCCUCCAAGGCUAAAUACUCCUGACUGACCGAUAGUGAACCAGUACCGUGAGGGAAAGGCGAAAAGAACCCCGGCGAGGGGAGUGAAAAAGAACCUGAAACCGUGUACGUACAAGCAGUGGGAGCACGCUUCGGCGUGUGACUGCGUACCUUUUGUAUAAUGGGUCAGCGACUUAUAUUCUGUAGCAAGGUUAACCGAAUAGGGGAGCCGAAGGGAAACCGAGUCUUAACUGGGCGUUAAGUUGCAGGGUAUAGACCCGAAACCCGGUGAUCUAGCCAUGGGCAGGUUGAAGGUUGGGUAACACUAACUGGAGGACCGAACCGACUAAUGUUGAAAAAUUAGCGGAUGACUUGUGGCUGGGGGUGAAAGGCCAAUCAAACCGGGAGAUAGCUGGUUCUCCCCGAAAGCUAUUUAGGUAGCGCCUCGUGAAYUCAUCUCCGGGGGUAGAGCACUGUUUCGGCAAGGGGGUCAUCCCGACUUACCAACCCGAUGCAAACUGCGAAUACCGGAGAAUGUUAUCACGGGAGACACACGGCGGGUGCUAACGUCCGUCGUGAAGAGGGAAACAACCCAGACCGCCAGCUAAGGUCCCAAAGUCAUGGUUAAGUGGGAAACGAUGUGGGAAGGCCCAGACAGCCAGGAUGUUGGCUUAGAAGCAGCCAUCAUUUAAAGAAAGCGUAAUAGCUCACUGGUCGAGUCGGCCUGCGCGGAAGAUGUAACGGGGCUAAACCAUGCACCGAAGCUGCGGCAGCGACGCUGAUGCGUUGUUGGGUAGGGGAGCGUUCUGUAAGCCUGUGAAGGUGUGCUGUGAGGCAUGCUGGAGGUAUCAGAAGUGCGAAUGCUGACAUAAGUAACGAUAAAGCGGGUGAAAAGCCCGCUCGCCGGAAGACCAAGGGUUCCUGUCCAACGUUAAUCGGGGCAGGGUGAGUCGACCCCUAAGGCGAGGCCGAAAGGCGUAGUCGAUGGGAAACAGGUUAAUAUUCCUGUACUUGGUGUUACUGCGAAGGGGGGACGGAGAAGGCUAUGUUGGCCGGGCGACGGUUGUCCCGGUUUAAGCGUGUAGGCUGGUUUUCCAGGCAAAUCCGGAAAAUCAAGGCUGAGGCGUGAUGACGAGGCACUACGGUGCUGAAGCAACAAAUGCCCUGCUUCCAGGAAAAGCCUCUAAGCAUCAGGUAACAUCAAAUCGUACCCCAAACCGACACAGGUGGUCAGGUAGAGAAUACCAAGGCGCUUGAGAGAACUCGGGUGAAGGAACUAGGCAAAAUGGUGCCGUAACUUCGGGAGAAGGCACGCUGAUAUGUAGGUGAAGUCCCUCGCGGAUGGAGCUGAAAUCAGUCGAAGAUACCAGCUGGCUGCAACUGUUUAUUAAAAACACAGCACUGUGCAAACACGAAAGUGGACGUAUACGGUGUGACGCCUGCCCGGUGCCGGAAGGUUAAUUGAUGGGGUYAGCGCAAGCGAAGCUCUUGAUCGAAGCCCCGGUAAACGGCGGCCGUAACUAUAACGGUCCUAAGGUAGCGAAAUUCCUUGUCGGGUAAGUUCCGACCUGCACGAAUGGCGUAAUGAUGGCCAGGCUGUCUCCACCCGAGACUCAGUGAAAUUGAACUCGCUGUGAAGAUGCAGUGUACCCGCGGCAAGACGGAAAGACCCCGUGAACCUUUACUAUAGCUUGACACUGAACAUUGAGCCUUGAUGUGUAGGAUAGGUGGGAGGCUUUGAAGUGUGGACGCCAGUCUGCAUGGAGCCGACCUUGAAAUACCACCCUUUAAUGUUUGAUGUUCUAACGUUGACCCGUAAUCCGGGUUGCGGACAGUGUCUGGUGGGUAGUUUGACUGGGGCGGUCUCCUCCUAAAGAGUAACGGAGGAGCACGAAGGUUGGCUAAUCCUGGUCGGACAUCAGGAGGUUAGUGCAAUGGCAUAAGCCAGCUUGACUGCGAGCGUGACGGCGCGAGCAGGUGCGAAAGCAGGUCAUAGUGAUCCGGUGGUUCUGAAUGGAAGGGCCAUCGCUCAACGGAUAAAAGGUACUCCGGGGAUAACAGGCUGAUACCGCCCAAGAGUUCAUAUCGACGGCGGUGUUUGGCACCUCGAUGUCGGCUCAUCACAUCCUGGGGCUGAAGUAGGUCCCAAGGGUAUGGCUGUUCGCCAUUUAAAGUGGUACGCGAGCUGGGUUUAGAACGUCGUGAGACAGUUCGGUCCCUAUCUGCCGUGGGCGCUGGAGAACUGAGGGGGGCUGCUCCUAGUACGAGAGGACCGGAGUGGACGCAUCACUGGUGUUCGGGUUGUCAUGCCAAUGGCACUGCCCGGUAGCUAAAUGCGGAAGAGAUAAGUGCUGAAAGCAUCUAAGCACGAAACUUGCCCCGAGAUGAGUUCUCCCUGACGNNNNNNNNNNNNNNNNNNNNNNNNNNNNNNNNNNNNNNNNNNNGGCGGCAGUAGCGCGGUGGUCCCACCUGACCCCAUGCCGAACUCAGAAGUGAAACGCCGUAGCGC
RNAcentral lists this ribosomal RNA (2864 nucleotides) under Escherichia coli. RNAcentral's name for it is "bacterial LSU rRNA". Lineage: Bacteria; Pseudomonadati; Pseudomonadota; Gammaproteobacteria; Enterobacterales; Enterobacteriaceae. The record is from RNAcentral.